AGUUAAUGAACUUGUAUAAGUAUUUAUUUUGAAAAUAAAAAAAAGAAAUAAUAUUUUCUAUUAACUU
This 67-nucleotide transfer RNA is filed under the name Paleosepharia posticata. RNAcentral's name for it is "tRNA-Ser". The record is from RNAcentral. Lineage: Eukaryota; Metazoa; Arthropoda; Insecta; Coleoptera; Chrysomelidae. RNAcentral also lists the same sequence under 1 other name.